This 1000-nucleotide long non-coding RNA is filed under the name Gossypium barbadense (sea-island cotton). Its description in RNAcentral is "long non-coding RNA (GBAR_LNC011993)". The record is from RNAcentral. Lineage: Eukaryota; Viridiplantae; Streptophyta; Magnoliopsida; Malvales; Malvaceae.
AGGGAUUGAACCUUAAGCAAUCAAAACAACCUUAUUGUACUCAACCUCCUCCUUUGAGCUCUCAAUCCCCUUCCUCUUUGCCUAGCACAACACCACUACAUCCUCCUCCUUGUCUCUUCCCUUAUUGAUAGUCUCAUCAACAGAUAUAAUCCUUAUAAUUGUUGGCAAAGAUUAAAAAAAAAAAAAAACUUAUCUCAAUCACCAUGAUUAGAUCAAUCUGUUUGAUAACAAUUUAGAUAUCAUAACAAUCUGAAUUAUUUGAUCACCAUGAUUAUUCGAAAAUGUUGUAAUAUCAAACAAGAUUAAUUAUAUCACAAAUAUUUAUCUAAGAACUAAUUGUUGACUGAUAAUCCAAAGUUGAACCUUUAUCUUCAUUCUUUUUACUACUCAUGAGUUUCUUUUCUUCAUAAGAAUGUGCUAAUGACUGAGAUGUUCUUAUAUGUUAAGCUUACCUUGUAGGAUCUUGCAUUUGUUGGCUAAAACGUCUUCAUCCAACGUGGCUAUGUCCAAGGAUCACGCGGCUACUAUUGCAUCUUUUGUCUUAUUCAGACUUUCUCAAUUUACGGUGCUUACCUUAAAGUGGCAAGUGUAGCAUUGUAGCUGUUGAGUUUGAGCUCGUUGGGUCACUUAUUUCUUGAGCGUUACAGGUUUUUUAACCAAGGAUAACAAUUAUUAUUACAUCACAAAUUUGGGGAGCGAGAUGGGUUGCCGAAGUUUUAAUCCUUGGUCUUUGGUGCCAACUAACAAUAACUCCAACUAUGGCCAUGUCGGUAUUUACAUAUAAAUUAUAAAAAAAUGAUUAAAUUAAUAAAGCAUAGUAUAUAUAACUGUGAAAUUUAUACGUGGGUUCUAAGUGCCAAUGGAUUUUCAUCAUACGUUGGUUCUUCAACGGUGUAGUAGGAUUUGCACUUAAACUCUUUUCAAUGUAGGGGAAAAAACUUUAAAGAUGUGUUAAUUCUUCAGCACCCAAAGAAUACAAUAUUUUUGCAUUAUUAGCAAA